AAAAAAAAAUCAACCAAACUUGGAGGAAAAAACAAUCAAACCGACGUUAAACUUUCGAAUAAAAUGUCAAAAGAGACCAGGAAAUGAUUGGCCUUAGCGAUUCCUCACUCCGUGUUCAUAGCUAACCAAGAGUGAGCUUAUUCAAGCGGAUAAGGUAACGACAGACAAGGUGACAACAGUAGUUACUUGUGUAGCAGCAAGAACGAACACCCCUCAAAGACUAGCACCGUCUUCUCUUCGUCCUGAAAACAUCUGCAGAGCUAAGCCCGGAAGUCACGGAACUCUAAUUGCGAAGUUCGUUCUCGAUUAGUUAUGUGCGGAGGGAGAGAACGGUGCAAUUGCCCCAGACCAAGUCUCAUCUCCUACUCCAAGGGGCUUCACACUCUGGGAGUUCCUUCUACUUGACCAGCUUAUUCGUAUUUUUUUGAAUUACCAGACCUCUAUAGGUAUUGUCUUCCAAAUUCAGAUUAGGCUUUA
Molecule: long non-coding RNA, 477 nt
Filed under: Durio zibethinus
Lineage: Eukaryota; Viridiplantae; Streptophyta; Magnoliopsida; Malvales; Malvaceae
Description: long non-coding RNA (DZIB_LNC001820)
Source: RNAcentral